RNAcentral lists this long non-coding RNA (61 nucleotides) under Homo sapiens (human). RNAcentral describes it as "novel transcript, sense overlapping GSK3B". Lineage: Eukaryota; Metazoa; Chordata; Mammalia; Primates; Hominidae. The record is from RNAcentral.
CUGGUCAGGGAGGAGUUUGGAAUGUUUCUGGUUGGUGAUGUUGUUUGUGGUUUAUGGUCAU